CCUGCCUGCCUGUCUGCCUGGCAGCCGCCUGUGCUCGCCUGCCUGACUCACCGUGGAUGGGGGUCCCGGCCCGGCUUUCGGCCCGUCCCGUCCCGUAGGUAGAGUAUCGCACCGCUCGCCACCCGCUAUCCACAGCAGUUUCAGCCAGCCGCCCGCCUGCCAGUGUCCCACCGCACGCCGAACCGUUUGCACUCAGAAGCGAUCAGGGAGCCCUUCUCUCCCUCGACUUCCCCCUUCGAGAGAAACGUGCGCGCGCGCGCGCGCACGCUCUUCCACCCCGGCGAGUCGCGCAUCGCGUACCCCGCCGCUAUACGCCGCCUCUAUAUCCGCCGUUUCUCGUCUCACGUCUCUCGUCUCACCCUCGCUCCUUUACGCCCUCGUCUUCGUUACACGCGCGUUAUUUCUCUUUGUUCUUCCCGGCGGGACGAUAGCAUCUUCGUCCCCCUUUUCCAACUUCUCCCCGGGUUCCGUCUACCGGUCGUCUUCUUUUUCUCCAUCGGUUUCCUCCCCGGUUUCCUUUUUCCUCUCUUUCUUCUUCUCUUCUUCCUCUCUGCCUCUGUUUUUCCUCCUUCGCCGCCAGUCUCCCGACGCUCUUCUUUCUUUUUUCGCUGUCAGUCACACUCGAAACGCACGAGCGCCGACUAUCGUUCUCUCCCUCCUGCUCGCUCCCACUUUCCUCUCUGUCGGUUGGCUGGCGUUCGGCGUGUUUAACCUCCCGCCGUCCCACAAGCAGCCCCUCCACCGCCCGACACCAGGCUUCUGUCUCCGUUGGCAGCGCGAGCGGGCCAUUCGUUCCGUCUCGUUCGCUCGACUCCUCUCGUGUUCCGCGCGCACACGGCUGCUCCGUCCCUCUUUCUCGCUCCUGAGUAGCGCCGGUGUGUACUCCCGCUGUCACCUGAUCGCGGGACGCUUUUCGCGGGUGAGAUACCGCUCGGCCACCGAGUCAACCGAGUCUGCCGCCGCCGCCACCGUCGCUCGGUUUUCCUCCUCCGCACCCCGAGCCGCCUCUUCCUUCGGCAUCUGCUCCUACUCUCCUCCUUCUUCCUCUUUCUUUCACGGGACGCGCGCGCGCUUUCCUUUUCCUUUCCGUCUCGCGCGGACACGUCGUGCUGGUCUCUUCCUAUACUCGGCUCUUUGCCGCCGCGCUACGUCGAACGUGCACGCGGCUAGCUGGUGGUUUUCGAGAGGGAACGAAACUAAGGGAAAAAAAAGAAAACGAAGGAAAGCGACGAAAGUAGAGGCGAGACAGGAAGAAGGGAAAACGUCAAAGACGUGGAAAACAACCGAUGAACCGAGGCGGAGCUAUAGACACACGGUAAAAAAAGAGACGAGAAAAAGACGGUAAAAGGGAGAAAGAGAGAAUCGCAAGAGGAAAGAAAGACGGAGGAUCGAGAGUGCGAGGGUACGAGAGAGAGAAAGAGAAGUGCGCGCCACCGACAUCGUCCAACCACGACUGGCUUGGCCGAUCUCUCGCCUCUUCUUCCUCCUUUCACGGAUCUUCGCCGGUGCACACGUCUGAAGCCGACCGACUGGAGAGGGAGGUGACACUUUCGGAACGUGGACACGCGGCACGCACGGAUCGUCACGCUGGAUACGUGAGGAUCCAGGAGAACUCCGCUGGCUACCGUGCUCUCGUGCAGGUCGGUGAUAUAGUGUGUUGUGUGUUCGUAACCGCGCGGUCAGUCAAGUGUUCUGCGAGUCCCGCUUCUUUUUUUUGCUCCUCGUCUUCGACUCUCCGAUCCGUGCCGUGCUUUUUUUUUACUUCCGCGCGCUCCAGCAACGUUCUUUUUCUCUUUGCUUUUUUUUUUCUUCUCUUCUCUUUCUUUCUCUUCCUUUUCGCGAGCAUACCGCCAGUCUCGCGAGUAUAUAUCGGCCAGUCUCUAGAUCGUCGCGACCACGACAGCCGCAACGACACCGUCCACGAUAACGACGACGACGACACCAAUGCAAACAGUGAGCGCGUGAGUGUCCCUGAUGUGUCUGUGAGCCGUCUGCCUCUUUCCUUUUUUUUUUCUUUUCACCGUGUCGGAGCUGCGUGACGACCGACCGGUGCCGCCGAUAACUUCGCAAUUCGAAAAGGCGGCGAUAAUUCGUAAGUGUGUUGGUCGCGGCACGCCUGCGCUUUUUCCUUUUUUUUUUUCUUUUCGUUACGUUUUACGGCUCGUUAAAGCUCACGGAAUCGUCGCGCUUCGACGUCGUCCCCCAUGAAUAUGGAGAUGAACGGUCGCCCGUCGAUCCUUCCCUUGCUCCGCGUCGCCUUUCUUUCAUCCGUCGCCCCGUCAUCGUCGCCGAACGGCGACGUGCUCGAGUUUCUUUCGAGCGUUCGCACGCGAUCGCCGUGCUU
Molecule: unclassified non-coding RNA, 2344 nt
Filed under: Bombus terrestris (buff-tailed bumblebee)
Lineage: Eukaryota; Metazoa; Arthropoda; Insecta; Hymenoptera; Apidae
Description: misc RNA ENSBTSG00005029054.1
Source: RNAcentral